RNAcentral lists this ribosomal RNA (700 nucleotides) under uncultured beta proteobacterium. Its description in RNAcentral is "bacterial SSU rRNA". It matches the Rfam family "Bacterial small subunit ribosomal RNA", at positions 94 to 791 of the family's 1533-position model. The record is from RNAcentral. Lineage: Bacteria; Pseudomonadati; Pseudomonadota; Betaproteobacteria.
AGUGGCGAACGGGUGAGUAAUACAUCGGAACGUACCUUAUCGUGGGGGAUAACGCAGCGAAAGCUGUGCUAAUACCGCAUACGCCCUGAGGGGGAAAGCGGGGGAUCGAAAGACCUCGCGCGAUUAGAGCGGCCGAUGCCUGAUUAGCUUGUUGGUGGGGUAAAAGCCUACCAAGGCGACGAUCAGUAGCUGGUCUGAGAGGACGAUCAGCCACACUGGGACUGAGACACGGCCCAGACUCCUACGGGAGGCAGCAGUGGGGAAUUUUGGACAAUGGGGGAAACCCUGAUCCAGCAAUGCCGCGUGAGUGAAGAAGGCCUUCGGGUUGUAAAGCUCUUUUGUCAGGGAAGAAACACCGGCUCUAACACAGUCCGGGAAUGACGGUACCUGAAGAAUAAGCACCGGCUAACUACGUGCCAGCAGCCGCGGUAAUACGUAGGGUGCGAGCGUUAAUCGGAAUUACUGGGCGUAAAGCGUGCGCAGGCGGUUAUACAAGACAGGCGUGAAAUCCCCGGGCUUAACCUGGGAAUGGCGCCUGUGACUGUAUAGCUAGAGUGUGUCAGAGGGGGGUAGAAUUCCACGUGUAGCAGUGAAAUGCGUAGAUAUGUGGAGGAAUACCAAUGGCGAAGGCAGCCCCCUGGGAUAACACUGACGCUCAUGCACGAAAGCGUGGGGAGCAAACAGGAUUGGAUACCCUGGU